This 460-nucleotide ribosomal RNA is filed under the name uncultured bacterium. Its description in RNAcentral is "partial 16S ribosomal RNA". It matches the Rfam family "Bacterial small subunit ribosomal RNA", at positions 338 to 795 of the family's 1533-position model. The record is from RNAcentral.
CCUACGGGAGGCAGCAGUGAGGAAUAUUGGUCAAUGGACGAGAGUCUGAACCAGCCAAGUAGCGUGAAGGAUGACUGCCCUAUGGGUUGUAAACUUCUUUUAUAUGGGAAUAAAAUGUUCCACGUGUGGGAUUUUGUAUGUACCAUAUGAAUAAGGAUCGGCUAACUCCGUGCCAGCAGCCGCGGUAAUACGGAGGAUCCGAGCGUUAUCCGGAUUUAUUGGGUUUAAAGGGAGCGUAGGUGGAUUGUUAAGUCAGUUGUGAAAGUUUGCGGCUCAACCGUAAAAUUGCAGUUGAAACUAGCAGUCUUGAGUACAGUAGAGGUGGGCGGAAUUCGUGGUGUAGCGGUGAAAUGCGUAGAUAUCACGAAGAACUCCGAUUGCGAAGGCAGUUCACUGGACUGCAACUGACACUGAGGCGCGAAAGUGUGGGUAUCAAACAGGAUUAGAUACCCCUGUAGUC